RNAcentral lists this ribosomal RNA (253 nucleotides) under uncultured bacterium. Its description in RNAcentral is "partial 16S ribosomal RNA". It matches the Rfam family "Bacterial small subunit ribosomal RNA", at positions 524 to 776 of the family's 1533-position model. The record is from RNAcentral.
UACGUAGGGUGCAAGCGUUGUCCGGAAUUAUUGGGCGUAAAGAGCUCGUAGGCGGUCUGUUGCGUCGGCUGUGAAAACCCGGGGCUCAACCCCGGGCCUGCAGCCGAUACGGGCAGACUAGAGUUCGGCAGGGGAGACUGGAAUUCCUGGUGUAGCGGUGAAAUGCGCAGAUAUCAGGAGGAACACCGGUGGCGAAGGCGGUUCUCUGGGCAUGUCCUGACGCUGAGGAGCGAAAGUGCGGGGAGCGAACAGG